UCCGGUUUGUCACCGGCAGUCAGCCUAGAGUGCCCACCCAUAGUGCUGGCAACUAAGCUCAAGGGUUGCGCUCGUUGCGGGACUUAACCCAACAUCUCACGACACGAGCUGACGACAACCAUGCACCACCUGUCUCCUCUGUCCCGAAGGCCUACGCCAUCUCUGGCGUAUUCAGAGGGAUGUCAAGACCUGGUAAGGUUCUUCGCGUUGCUUCGAAUUAAACCACAUACUCCACUGCUUGUGCGGGUCCCCGUCAAUUCCUUUGAGUUUCAGUCUUGCGACCGUACUCCCCAGGCGGAGUGCUUAAUGUGUUAACUUCGGCACCGUGGGGGCGAUCCCCCCGACACCUAGCACUCAUCGUUUACGGCGUGGACUAC
Molecule: unclassified non-coding RNA, 377 nt
Filed under: uncultured Paenibacillaceae bacterium
Lineage: Bacteria; Bacillati; Bacillota; Bacilli; Caryophanales; Paenibacillaceae
Description: contains 16S-23S intergenic spacer region
Source: RNAcentral